GACAGAGGUGCCAAGCGUUAGGCGGAAUCACUGGGCUUAAAGCGUGUGUAGGCGGGCGGGCAAGUACCUUGUGAAACCCCACGGCUCAACCGUGGAACGGCUGGGUAUACUGCCUGUCUUGAGCCAGCUAGGGGCGACCGGAACAGACGGUGGAGCGGUGAAAUGCGUAGAUAUCGUCUGGAACGCCAAAGGUGAAAACAGGUCGCUGGGGCUGAGCUGACGCUGAGACACGAAAGCCAGGGGAGCGAACGGG
Molecule: ribosomal RNA, 253 nt
Filed under: uncultured bacterium
Lineage: Bacteria
Description: partial 16S ribosomal RNA
Rfam family: Bacterial small subunit ribosomal RNA
Source: RNAcentral